Molecule: long non-coding RNA, 2627 nt
Organism: Gorilla gorilla gorilla (western lowland gorilla)
Lineage: Eukaryota; Metazoa; Chordata; Mammalia; Primates; Hominidae
Exons: 8
Source: RefSeq, a predicted model, not a curated record
AACCCUACAAUGGCCUCUCAGUGUUCAAAUGAGAGUCACAUGUCUCCCACUUUAAAUCAAAAGCUGGAAAUAAUUAAGUUUAGUGUGAGGAAGGCAUGUCGAAAGCCAAGAUAGGCUGAAAGCUAGGCCUCCUGUGAAGAACAGUUAGUCAAGUUCUGAAUGUAAAGGAAAAGUUCUUGAAGGGAGUUAAAAAUGCUACUCCAGUGAACACAAGAAUAACAAGAAAGCAAAAGAGACAUUGCUGAUAUGGAGAAAGGUAGAGUGGUCUAGAUAGAAGAUAAAACCAGCCACAACCUUCCCUUCAGCUAAAGCCUAAUCCAGAGCAAGGCUCUAACUCUUUUUAAUUCUGUGAAGGGUGAGAGAGAUGGAGAAGCUGCAGAAAAAAGGUUUGAAGCUAGUAGAGAUUGGUUCUUGAAGCUUGCGGAAAGAAGCCGUCUCCAUAACGUAAAAGUUCAAGAUGAUGCAGCAAGUACAAUGUAAAAGCUACAGCAUUCUCCAAAAGAUCUAGCUGAGGUCAUUAGUGAAGGUGGCUACACUGAAUGACAGAUUUUCAAUGUAGAUGAAACAGCCUUCUAUUGGAAGAAGAUGCCAUCUAGGACUUUCAUAGCUAGAAAGGAGAAGUCAAUGCCUGGCUUCAAAGAACAGGCUGACUCUUGUUAGUGGCUAAUGUAGCUGGUAACUUUAAGUUGAAGCCAAUGCUCAUUUACUAUUCUGAAAAUUCUAGGACCCUUAAGAAUUAUGCAAUAUCUACUCUGCUCAUGCUCUGUAAAUGGAAGAAUGAAGCCCAGAUGACCACACAUUUGUUUACAGCAUGAUUUACUGAAUAUUUUAAGCUUGUCAUUGAGACCUGCUCUCAGAAAAAAGAUUUUUUGUUUUCAAAAGAUUACUGCUCAUUGACAAAUUCACCUGGUCACUCAAGAACUCUGAUGGAGAUGUACAGUAGGAUUUCCAGCUCCUAGAAGACAGAAAUCAUGAUGUUCAUCUUUUGCAUCCUUCCCAGAAUCUAGUGGAGCACUGAGCAUCAUGCAUUGUUCCUGAGAGUAGCUUCAAUAAGCCACGUGGAUGCAAUUAUCCAGCUCAGGGGUUGUUUCUUAUGGAAUCCAACCUAUGACUGUUGACGCCAGGAGUGGUCCUGGGAAGGAGACUCUGAAAAUUUUGGAGCUGGCUGGGAAUAAGAGUCCUGUCGCUGUUGAUAUCUGAGAGCAACCUUCUGCCAGGAUUUGCCCUGCCCACAGGCGUUAGCAUGGACUUGAUGACUGCGGUGCGGCUUUCACUUUCUCAAUUUUCCAGAGCUCAUACUCCCCAAACUCCAGAGGAAUAAGAUGCACAUAUUAAGCCUAGAAUGUGCUAGCCAAUGUGGUACUGGACUGACGUGGCUCAUGGAUCUCAUGGUGGGAACUACAUAGAGUGGACUUAUGAGAAAAGCCAGCUGGGGCUCCAGGAGCAUCACGGAGCAAAGAGAGCUUUUCAGGCCUCAUCUUCACUAUAGGACCAGUGAAUAACUCUGGAUGGCAGAUAAAUCAUAGGGUGGAGAGAAAGGAGUAGAAGCCUUCAAUGAUGAUACCUGUUUCCGUCAAUGACAGAUAAGGCCCGAAGAUCCAGACUGAUGAUAAGCCUAAAGCCGGUGGAGGACAAUCACUACUGGAUUCUACCACAGAAGGCUGCAAACACCAAUCAUUAUCGUUCUGGGGAAUCCAGCUGCCAUGGUGAGUAGCAGCACUACAGAGAGGCCCACGCAGCAAAGAAUUGAAACCUCUAAACAAUAGCCAUGUAAGUAAGUUUGGAAAUGGAUUCUUAGCCUAACCUUAGGAUAACUGUGGCCCCAGGCAAUAGCUGGACUGGAAUCUUAUAGAGAUUUUGCACCAAAACCGCUUAGCUCAUCUGCUACCAGAUUCCAGGCCCACAGAAGCCCUGAGAUUAAAAAAAUGUUUGAAGAUUUAGGCUACGAAGUUUUGGAUAAUUUGUUACAAAGCAGUAUAUAAGUAAUAUACCUAGGAAAUCAACUCUUAGGUACAUAUCCCAGGAACACUUGAACAGGUGCCUAAGCAUGUUCCCUGAAGCACUAUUUAUGGUACAAAUAGAUGGAGACAAAUAGAUUUUCAUCACUAUCAGAAUAAAAUAAGUAAAAUAUGAAAAAUUCAAAUAACAUAAUAAAACCGUGCCCCAAAGAGUUAAAGAAAAUAGUAACUCAAAGAGUUAAAGAAAAUAGUAACUAAUAGAAAUCCUUGAGUUUGCAGGAUAGUAGAUCAGAAAGCAAACAACUUGUUGAAACGUUGAGACACUAUCUGCUUGUAAGAUAACAAAACUGGCUACACUCAGUUAGAACCAAUAUGGCCAACUGGAGUUUAUGCAGAAUGAGCUUGCAGACAUCACAUGUUUUAUAUGAACUCACCCUGAGUUUGCACAUGAGACCCAUGAAGAAGCAGGAAAAAGUAACUGCACCCAGAAGGAACCUCCAGGCCUCCUCUUUCCUUCCACAAAUUACCUACUAAUUCUCGGACUCCACCCUCUAAAUCUUUUCUAAUACAAUUAUUGCCUUAAAAUCAGCAGGGGGAGACAAAUUCGAGCUAGUCUCCUGUCAGAAUUCUUGGUUGACUUGCAAUAAAAAGCUUCUCUUUGCUCAAGAA